UACGGAAGGCAGCAGUGGGGAAUAUUGCACAAUGGGCGAAAGCCUGAUGCAGCUAUGCCGCGUGUAUGAAGAAGGCCUUAGGGUUGUAAAGUACUUUCAUCGGGGAGGAAAAAACAAAACUAAUAAUUUUAUUUCUUGACGUUACCCGAAAAAGAAGCACCGGCUAACUCCGUGCCAGCAGCCGCGGUAAUACGGAGGGUGCUAGCGUUAAUCAGAAUUACUGGGCGUAAAGAGCACGUAGGUGGUUUUUUUAAGUCAGAUGUGAAAUCCCUGGGCUUAACCUAGGAACUGCAUUUUGAAACUGAAAUACUAGAGUAUCGUAGAGGGAGGUAGAAUUCUAAGUGUAGCGGUGAAAUGCGUAGAUAUCUGGAGGAAUACCUGUGGCGAAAGCGGCCUCCUAAACGAAUACUGACACUGAGGGUGCGAAAGCGUGGGGAGCGAAACAGGGAUUAGAUACC
RNAcentral lists this ribosomal RNA (458 nucleotides) under uncultured bacterium. RNAcentral's name for it is "bacterial SSU rRNA". It matches the Rfam family "Bacterial small subunit ribosomal RNA", at positions 340 to 786 of the family's 1533-position model. The record is from RNAcentral.